AUGAGGAAACCAAUGGUAAAAAUAUCUGCCUGCAAUGCAGGAGACCCGGGUUUGAUCCCUGGCUCGGGAAGAUCCCCCUGGAGAAGGGCAUGGCAACUCACUCCAGUAUUCUUGCCUGGGAAAUCCCAUGGACAGAGGAGCCUGGUCGACUAUAGUCUAUGGCUUCACAAAGAGUUGGAAACAACUGAGCGACUAACACACACACACACACACACACACACUCAAGGCCCAGAAGGAAAAGCACAGCCCAUGGGGCCACGGUGGAGUGGGGGAUGGGAGGACAGAGCAAUUAAUUCAACAAACGCGGUGAGGGCUUCCUGUGUGCCAGAUGUGUACAGGGCGGGGUUCUGGGAAGAGGAAACCCUAGCCUCACCCUGGAAGGUACACAGCCUGCUCACGGGACCUGAGCUGUGGGGGAGGGAAGCCGGAGGAGGAGACUGGCUUGGACCCUGCCAGGGGGGGCAUCUCUCUCAGGACCCUGGGGUGAGGACUGUAAUGAAGGACACAAACAGGAAGACAAAUACAAGCGGAGGUCGUGAGCGCCAUCCUUGGACGCGAGCAUCAAUAUUUCAUCCUUGCUUCGCCUGCCAGCAUCCCGCUCCCUCCUCCCUGCUUCUCACCGGCUCUAGGACCCGGAGAGCUGGGCCACACUGGCCUGACCCAGGGCGUCAUCACAGAUGUCCACGCUGCCUUCAGCUUGCCCGCCGUGCCAUCGUGGACUCCAGAGUCUGCGCAAGAAGCCGCCCUUCUGAACCAGGUGUCGUUGGCUUUUUCCCACCUCCCAGGCCUAGGCAGGUGGAUAAAGGAAGCAGCGUGGGUGUUCAGGAGCACACAUCCCUCCGGCCAGCCCCCAGCCCGUCUCAUCUCGUCCACUUGAGGUCACAGAGGAAUGCGCUGUGCUCUGCCAGGGGGUCCUGGCAGAGUGUGGAGCUGGGAUGGAAGCAGUUACUCUCAGGAGGACUUUGGGCAGACUGUGGUCCUUUCUCAGGCUGGUGGCCAGCUCUUCAUUUCUGUGUUGGGACUGGGGUUGAGGGUGCCUGCUGAC
This 1045-nucleotide long non-coding RNA is filed under the name Bos indicus x Bos taurus (hybrid cattle). RNAcentral's name for it is "lncRNA (ENSBIXG00000009817.1)". Lineage: Eukaryota; Metazoa; Chordata; Mammalia; Artiodactyla; Bovidae. The record is from RNAcentral.